RNAcentral lists this ribosomal RNA (507 nucleotides) under Russula sp. RNAcentral's name for it is "SSU rRNA". It matches the Rfam family "Bacterial small subunit ribosomal RNA", at positions 442 to 962 of the family's 1533-position model. Lineage: Eukaryota; Fungi; Basidiomycota; Agaricomycetes; Russulales; Russulaceae. The record is from RNAcentral.
UGGAUAACAUAAGGGAAAAUAAUGAUAUUACCUUAUUAUUAGUGUCGUCCAAAACUGGUGCCAGAAGACUCGGUAAGGCCAGAGACACAAACGUUAAUCGUCUUAAUCAGGCGUAAAGGGUUUGUAGGCGGCUUUUAAUUUACUUAUAUAUAUUUAAAAAUAAGUUAAGAAUAAAAGCUAGAAUCAAAUAGAGGAUAUAUCAAAUAAUGCUUAGAGUAGGUCUGAUAUCCUUAGAUACUAAGUAGAAUAUUAAAGGCGAAAGCUUUUUUCCAUAAAUGAUUGACGCUCAGAAACGAAGGUGAGGAUAGAAAAUAGGAUUAGAUACCCAAAAUAUCCCUCUCUGUCAACGAUGAAUGGUAAUUAUUAAUAAUAAAUUUAUUAUUAAUGGCAAUGUUAACACGAUAACCAUUCCGCCUUGUGAGUACAACUGCAAAGUUGAAAACAAAAAAAUUAGUCGGUUUCGGAGCAAACGAAGUGAAGCAUGUUAUUUAAUUCGAUUAAUCCGCC